Molecule: ribosomal RNA, 891 nt
Filed under: Microdochium phragmitis
Lineage: Eukaryota; Fungi; Ascomycota; Sordariomycetes; Xylariales; Microdochiaceae
Description: eukaryotic LSU rRNA
Rfam family: Eukaryotic large subunit ribosomal RNA
Source: RNAcentral
UUGACCUCGGAUCAGGUAGGAAUACCCGCUGAACUUAAGCAUAUCAAUAAGCGGAGGAAAAGAAACCAACAGGGAUUGCCCCAGUAACGGCGAGUGAAGCGGCAACAGCUCAAAUUUGAAAUCUGGCCUUCUGGUCCGAAUUGUAAUUUGUAGAGGAUGACUUUGGUUAGGUACCUUUCGAGUUCCUUGGAACAGGACGCCUUAGAGGGUGAGAGCCCCGUACGAUUGGAUGCCGAGCCUUUGUAAGUCUCCUUCGACGAGUCGAGUAGUUUGGGAAUGCUGCUCUAAAUGGGAGGUAAAUUUCUUCUAAAGCUAAAUACCGGCCAGAGACCGAUAGCGCACAAGUAGAGUGAUCGAAAGAUGAAAAGCACUUUGAAAAGAGGGUUAAAUAGUACGUGAAAUUGUUGAAAGGGAAGGGUUUAUGACCAGACCUUUGCGUUGGGAAUCAUCCGGUGUUCUCACCGGUGCACUUCCCUUCGUUGAGGCCAGCAUCAGUUUUGGUUGGGGGAUAAAGACAUUAGGAAUGUGAUUCCUCCGGGAAUGUUAUAGCCUUUUGUGUAAUACCCUGACCGGGACUGAGGACCGCGCUUCGGCUAGGAUGCUGGCAUAAUGGUCAUCAGCCACCCGUCUUGAAACACGGACCAAGGAGUCGAACAUUUAUGCGAGUGUUUGGGUGUUAAACCCUCACGCGUAAUUAAAGUGAACGGAGGUGAGAGCCCUUACGGGUGCAUCAUCGACCGAUCCUGAUGUCUUCGGAUGGAUUUGAGUAAGAGCAUAACUGUUCGGACCCGAAAGAUGGUGAACUAUGCGUGGAUAGGGUGAAGCCAGAGGAAACUCUGGUGGAGGCUCGCAGCGGUUCUGACGUGCAAAUCGAUCGUCAAAUCUGCGCAU